GCUCCGGUGGCCUAGUGUUAGAGCAUCAGCCUCGGAAGCGGGAGGUCGCGGGUUCGAUCCCAGCCGACUGAUUCA
Potamilus streckersoni is the source of this 75-nucleotide non-coding RNA. NCBI's taxonomy places the organism in Eukaryota, Metazoa, Mollusca, Bivalvia, Unionida, Unionidae. The record is from the annotation of a GenBank genome assembly.